Hippocampus zosterae (dwarf seahorse) is the source of this 533-nucleotide long non-coding RNA. RefSeq lists it as uncharacterized. The record is from RefSeq and is a predicted model, not a curated record. The transcript is spliced from 3 exons. NCBI's taxonomy places the organism in Eukaryota, Metazoa, Chordata, Actinopteri, Syngnathiformes, Syngnathidae.
UUCACUUUUACUCGUGAGAUUCUGUCGUUCAAGAUCUCCACUUACGACCCUUAUGGGAUCAUCCAUGUAUGGAUCCGCCCGUGUUCGGCAUCUCUGUGGCCUCACGGGGAUGCCAAAGCUGGUCGUCGAGACAUGGAGUCCCCAGGUUGAUUGAUCAAACGAAGAAUGAGCUUCUACAUUCUUGUGCACCAUAACCUGCCUACUGCAAAGUGUGUCCACCAACCCUGGAUGCAGUUCUAUCGGGGGCACGCUGAUGGCGAGUACCUGGUCGUCAGAAGGACGUGGGCCAGGCGGCGGUCACCCUGAGGAAAAAGCUCACUGGUACAAGCAGCAGAAAUGAGGGCCAGCAUCUUUUUGGGUGUCCUAGCCCACCAGUGGAGACGGAUCUCCAUCUUGUCAGUGAUGGGGAUUAUUUUCAUCUAAAUGUUUAAAUUUAAUGUAUUCUGAAUUAAAUUAUUUUAAUGUAUGAAUGAAAUGUUUGUUACUUACAGUAUUAGAUUUUAGUUGGUAAUAAAAUGAACCCAUUGUCUUAA